This 450-nucleotide ribosomal RNA is filed under the name uncultured bacterium. RNAcentral's name for it is "partial 16S ribosomal RNA". It matches the Rfam family "Bacterial small subunit ribosomal RNA", at positions 354 to 796 of the family's 1533-position model. The record is from RNAcentral.
GUGGGGAAUCUUCCGCAAUGGACGAAAGUCUGACGGAGCGACGCCGCGUGAGUGAAGAAGGCCUUCGGGUCGUAAAGCUCUGUCAUCAGGGACGAACGGCCGGUGGAGUGGAAAGCCACCGGAUUGACGGUACCUGAGAAGGAAGCCACGGCUAACUACGUGCCAGCAGCCGCGGUAAUACGUAGGUGGCAAGCGUUGUCCGGAAUUAUUGGGCGUAAAGCGCGCGCAGGUGGGAUCUUAAGUCCAUUUUUAAAGUUCGGAGCUCAACUCCGUGAUGGGAUGGAAACUGGGAUUCUUGAGUACCGGAGAGGAAAGCGGAAUUCCCCGUGUAGCGGUGAAAUGCGUAGAUAUGGGGAGGAACACCAGUGGCGAAGGCGACUUUCUGGACGAAAACUGACGCUGAGGCGCGAAAGCCAGGGGAGCGAACGGGAUUAGAUACCCCUGUAGUCC